Molecule: long non-coding RNA, 426 nt
Organism: Hydractinia symbiolongicarpus
Lineage: Eukaryota; Metazoa; Cnidaria; Hydrozoa; Anthoathecata; Hydractiniidae
Exons: 2
Source: RefSeq, a predicted model, not a curated record
AAAUUUUUCCUGUCAACAGCCUGUUUGAACUAACAUAAAUUCAGAUUGAAACAAAAUGUCAGAUUCAUCAGAUUCAACACUACAAAAUUGGCUGAAUGGCAUUAUCGAUUAUAUAGAUGAACAAGAACCACUGAUCGCAUGAAUGUAAAGGCAUAUGAAGUAAGCGAGAUACGUGACUUGAAGACUGCAAUGGAACGUGUGAGUGGAGAGAUCUUUAUGAUUGGAAUCACAAGGUACUUCACAAGGUGCUGCUAGAUAAUGUACCAAGAGAAGUGUUUAAAAGAUCUUGGGAAGCCUACGCCAAGGCCAACAUAUGUAUGAAUAUAUUGAAAGAAGAGCUUGGAACACGAAGAGAAGAGGAGUAAAAAGACACAACAGUUUUAUUGUUAUUAUUAUUCCUUGAAGCAUAACGAAUCUCUAUUAUAA